Pelobates cultripes (western spadefoot toad) is the source of this 321-nucleotide non-coding RNA. Lineage: Eukaryota; Metazoa; Chordata; Amphibia; Anura; Pelobatidae. The record is from the annotation of a GenBank genome assembly.
CCACGAAUCACCGCUGCUGGGCUGGUAUCUCGCCUUCUGCUAUCCACUCUGGACCUAUGACCAGGUUCCAGGUGGUGAACCUCUUCCUUCUGCAGAGCGAAGCAGGAUCAGGAACAAGAGCUCUUGCAAGAGCUCAGUAGCUAAGGGAGUAUGAAGAGCAUAGCAAUCCCUGUAGUGAUUAUGGCUGUCCCCUGCAAUCACGAGUAGAGGCUGCGAGUUCUCUUUAAUUGGCACCAAAGGGCGUUCUUUUAUACAGGACCGCCCACAGGGUUUUGCAGAACAACCAAUAAACACGUAACAUACAGUAAAAACACACCCAUC